AUGUUUGACACUCCACCGACUUACGAUGAGCUAUGCAUCUUCGGCUGUCUUUGCUACCCUAGCAUUGCUUCCACUACUCCUCAUAAGCUAGCUCCUCGCUCAUUGGCAUGCAUUUUCCUCGGCUACCCACCCAACACCAAAGGCUAUCGCUGCUAUGAUCCUAUCUCACAUCGUGUGAUCACUUCACGACACGUUUACUUUGAUGAGAAGGUCUUUCCGUUUCAGCAGGUGCCUACGGAUGUUGCAUCGUCGCUGAUCCCUAGCGGUCCUUCGGCGAGCCUCUCUAGUGAUGGCCGCUCGAGAGCGUCUCUCGGGCCGCCUCCUGGAUUUGAGACUUCACCUCACGCCGCAGGUCGAGUCCCUCCCCGCACGGCUGCCUUUGUGGAUUCUCCCCUCCUUGGGUCGGUCACACCAACCUCGAUGCCCAUGGCGUCACCGGCGCCCUCGACGCCCUUCGCGUCAUCGGCGCCCUCCACGUCGGGUUCACCGGCGCCCUUCGUGUCGGCGCCCACGGCGUCUCCGGCGCCCACGGUGUCCAUCUCUACCAGUGUGGCCUCGCCCGGCGUCUCGUGUGCGAUGGGUUCUACAUCAGCAUCAUCCGUUGCCACCCCAGACCCACUGCCCCGCCCCAUUACUCGGUCUCGGGCUGGUGUCCACUGCCCGAGCUUGCGGUACAACAACAAUGAGUAUCUUCUCGCUGUGUCCACCUUCGAGCCGUCCCCUCUCCCAUCGUCAGCUCGAGCCGCCUCCGGGAUCCUCAUUGGUUCACUGCGAUGUAGGAAGAGUUCGACUCUCUCCAGCGGAACCGCACUUGGCAGCUGA
This 822-nucleotide ribosomal RNA is filed under the name Triticum aestivum (bread wheat). RNAcentral describes it as "partial small subunit ribosomal RNA". The record is from RNAcentral. Lineage: Eukaryota; Viridiplantae; Streptophyta; Magnoliopsida; Poales; Poaceae.